AGAGUUGAUCCUGGCUCAGGAUGAACGCUAGCUACAGGCUUAACACAUGCAAGUCGAGGGGCAGCAGAUCGAAAGCUUGCUUUGAUGCUGGCGACCGGCGCACGGGUGAGUAGCGCGUAUCCAACCUUCCCUAUAGUAGAGAAUAGCCCGGCGAAAGUCGGAUUAAUGCUCUAUGUUGUAUUUAGAAGACAUCUGAAGAAUACCAAAGGUUUACCGCUAUAGGAUGGGGAUGCGUCUGAUUAGGUUGUUGGCGGGGUAACGGCCCACCAAGCCUACGAUCAGUAGGGGUUCUGAGAGGAAGGUCCCCCACAUUGGAACUGAGACACGGUCCAAACUCCUACGGGAGGCAGCAGUGAGGAAUAUUGGUCAAUGGACGAAAGUCUGAACCAGCCAAGUAGCGUGCAGGAUGACGGCCCUAUGGGUUGUAAACUGCUUUUAUACAGGGAUAAAGUGAGGGACGUGUCCCUUUUUGUAGGUACUGUAUGAAUAAGGACCGGCUAAUUCCGUGCCAGCCGCAGC
This 519-nucleotide ribosomal RNA is filed under the name uncultured bacterium. Its description in RNAcentral is "bacterial SSU rRNA". It matches the Rfam family "Bacterial small subunit ribosomal RNA", at positions 8 to 518 of the family's 1533-position model. The record is from RNAcentral.